GACGAACGCUGGCGGCGUGCUUAACACAUGCAAGUCGAACGCUGAAGCUCAGCUUUUGUUGGGUGGAUGAGUGGCGAACGGGUGAGUAACACGUGAGUAACCUGCCCCCUUCUUUGGGAUAACGCCCGGAAACGGGUGCUAAUACUGGAUAUUCACUGGUCUUCGCAUGGGGGUUGGUGGAAAGGGUUUUUCUGGUGGGGGAUGGGCUCGCGGCCUAUCAGCUUGUUGGUGGGGUGAUGGCCUACCAAGGCUUUGACGGGUAGCCGGCCUGAGAGGGUGACCGGUCACAUUGGGACUGAGAUACGGCCCAGACGCCUACGGGAGGCAGCAGUGGGGAAUAUUGCACAAUGGGCGCAAGCCUGAUGCAGCGACGCCGCGUGAGGGAUGGAGGCCUUCGGGUUGUGAACCUCUUUCGCUCAUGGUCAAGCCGCAACAAUGGUUGUGGUGAGGGUAGUGGGUAAAGAAGCGCCGGCUAACUACGUG
RNAcentral lists this ribosomal RNA (483 nucleotides) under uncultured bacterium. RNAcentral describes it as "partial 16S ribosomal RNA". It matches the Rfam family "Bacterial small subunit ribosomal RNA", at positions 28 to 507 of the family's 1533-position model. The record is from RNAcentral.